Molecule: ribosomal RNA, 404 nt
Filed under: uncultured bacterium
Lineage: Bacteria
Description: bacterial SSU rRNA
Rfam family: Bacterial small subunit ribosomal RNA
Source: RNAcentral
GCAAGUCGAACGAGAUCUUCGGAUCUAGUGGCGCACGGGUGCGUAACGCGUGGGAAUCUGCCCUUGGGUUCGGAAUAACAGUUAGAAAUGACUGCUAAUACCGGAUGAAGUCUACGGACCAAAGAUUUAUCGCCCAGGGAUGAGCCCGCGUAGGAUUAGCUAGUUGGUGGGGUAAAGGCCUACCAAGGCGACGAUCCUUAGCUGGUCUGAGAGGAUGAUCAGCCACACUGGGACUGAGACAUGGCCCAGACUCCUACGGGAGGCAGCAGUGGGGAAUAUUGGACAAUGGGGGCAACCCUGAUCCAGCAAUGCCGCGUGAGUGAUGAAGGCCUUCGGGUCGUANAGCUCUUUUACCCGGGAUGAUAAUGACAGUACCGGGAGAAUAAGCCCCGGCUAACUCCGUG